UUUUCCUCCAUCUCUUCCCCCUCUGUGUACAUAUCCCUCAUUCCCUUUCUUGCUGUGUCCACCUUCUGCUCUCAUAUGCACUGUAUCCUUGGAUGAUGCAGCAGAUGAACUGGGAAUCGAGUUCAUGGAGAGUCGUGAAACUUACCAGAGACAGGUGCUGUCCAUCUUCAGCAUCGCUUCAGGGAUCUGUUUCCUCGGAGUGGCAUGCAUUGCUCUCUAUCGCCAUAACAUGAGACACAGGGAAAAGCUCUGGGAGCACUUCUCUGAAAGCCGGAACCUGAGGGACUGCAGUAUCAACGCCUCUGGGCUCAUGUCUAAAUCCAGCCCCAGGUCUCAUUGCGCUCAGCAGCUUCAGAAGUGCUGCAAAUCUCCUCAAGGGGGCAGCAGUCUGACAGCUGACACACCCACAGCAACUCCUACUGUCACUAGAACACUCCCCAAAGGCAAACGUUUCAGGAGUAGCUCCCUGUCCAUCAGUCCAGCCCAAAGACACCCAGACACUCAUCACUUCAAGACCCCACCAAUCUCUCGAGGACCAAGGGCUGCGGGUCCUGUCUAUAGGCAUCUGCAGGAGGUGGAUUCUACUGAGACUGAGGCAGAGUCUUUAAAACGGCUUGAAAAUAGGAGGGACAGAGCAGAUGACCGCCAUCGCAGUGGCUUCCUGAAUAUGCAAACCCGGUCUCGUGCACCUGAGAAGAAGCAAUGGAGGGAGGUGCCGUGCACUCGCUUGGACAGAAGACUAACACCUUCUCCUCCCUCUCUCCGCACACACUCCGUUCCCAUCAUCCCCUCUCUGCAGGGAAAUGAAUGCGAGUGGGCUCGUGUGGACAGGCGCAGCCGGGGUGACUUGCAGGGAAGUGGUCUAGCCGGGUCAGGCUUCUCUUCAAUCUUAUCCUCUGAGGCUGUACUUGAAUCUGAGGCCAGACCCAGUUACAUAUGUCCCCGCAGUGCUAAGACUGCUCUGGGAUUGCAAACAUACCACAUGCAACCACAUACCUUUGAAACUCCAAAAGGAUCAGAGCGCAUGCUCCAACACUCAAGCCUUGCGGCCUCUGGGACAGCAUCAUCCGGAUCCAGGUUGAAUAGCACAAACACUGGUAUUUCUGUGACUGUGCUUAAGUCAGAGGGUAAAAGCAUGCAGUAUACACCCAGACUGCUCUACAGCUCUUCCGGAGGCAGGGGUCCUCAGGCAGCAGAGCAAAGACAGACCCAUGAGCUUGGUAAACAUGUCCCCCUGCUGAUUGAUGGAGAAGCAACCUGUUUCCUUUCAGCAGCGAUGGGCAGAGGCGCUGGAAUUACUUGUGCCAAAACUUCUGACAGCUGAUUUGAUUAUUUCUCACUAACCUGCAAGUCAAGACUCCGCCUACCGGCAUCGAUGACACGGGUUGGGGGUUGGACCACCUGCCUAACUAAUUGGACCAAUCCCAUAUGGUCUGUGGUUUCUGUAAAUGAGCCACAGCAUUCUGGAUUAAAGAGAGGAAUUUAUUGACACAUUAAAGACACUGAAUUAUUAAGAAAACACACACACACACACAGUUUAUGUGAAUAAUGUGAAACAAUGUAGACAGACAUAAAGACUGGGGAGGGAGCUUGAUUUAAAAGUGUAUUGAAAAAGCUUUAUUUAAACAAAGCUUCUACUUAGAAACCAAAAUAGUGUGUCAUCUCUAUGUUGUUUCUCUAUUGUAAAGAACUCAAAUUAUAUAUGUCAUAUAUAUGUCGUAUAGACGUAUAUAUAUUUGACAUGACGUGACAAAAUAAAGACAAAGACUACCGAGG
Molecule: long non-coding RNA, 1776 nt
Organism: Esox lucius (northern pike)
Lineage: Eukaryota; Metazoa; Chordata; Actinopteri; Esociformes; Esocidae
Source: Ensembl